Long non-coding RNA from Lolium rigidum, 898 nucleotides. RefSeq lists it as uncharacterized. NCBI's taxonomy places the organism in Eukaryota, Viridiplantae, Streptophyta, Magnoliopsida, Poales, Poaceae. The record is from RefSeq and is a predicted model, not a curated record. The transcript is spliced from 5 exons.
CGAUUUUGGGAGAAGAACUGUUGAUGCCCAUCGAGAUUUCAUCUCGUUUUCUAGCUGUAUGCCCAGAUCUUGAAUUUUUUUGGCAGAAGAAUUUCUACUGCCGUCACUUAGAAUUAUAUCUCAGGUUUAUGAUGUGACUUCAAAAGUUAUGAUGUAUGACAAAUCUGUGGUGACGCUUUAUAUUGCGGCAAGGAAAUAAAAUCUUCAGAUUUUAUGAUUGUGUUGUCCAUGUCUUGCGGGAUGUCGAGCUGCUCGGCCCAACCUACUUUGAUGCUGAUGUCCAGAAGUUCGUCACAUACUCACAUCGCAUACAAAGGGUUUUGACAUGGUCGAGAAGGGCUGUCUGAAGCGCCUCCAUAAGGAGUACCACACGCUCUGCUAGGAGCCGCGUUGUAGAUCGUGGUUAGCUGCCGCCCAACGACAUGUUGGAGUGUUGUAGGGUUUGUCUCCAACACUGCUCCUUGAGGAUGCAUCGGAUGUGUGGUUGUUGUAGACAGCUAACCUCCACCCUGUUGUUGUGCGAUGGUGGCAGCGGUCGCCUCUUCUUCGUCUCCAUGGUACAGGGUUCUUGGAUCAAGUUGGUGCUCUGAGAAUGCGAUGCUUGUUUGGGACCAAGCAGUAAGGACACGUCGGAAACUCCCUUGCUGUCCGUCUUAUGCCUGCGUCCGUGGCCUAUAUAUGUAACAUUUUGGUCCUUGUGAUGAUGCCAAGCAGCCGUCAUGGCAGUAACAUACAUCAUCCUUGUGAUGCUCCCGAUCCAUUCAGGAGAUGUAAUAGCAUGGUAGAAAUCUUUUUCCCCCUUCGCCAUAACUUUUGGUGGAAGCUCAUGUUUUUUGGUCAUAGGUCGUGUUUUUUGCCCUUUUGUUGUUGAUUAUCUGCCACGAGUUUCCGAAAACAG